This is a long non-coding RNA of Homo sapiens (human), 672 nucleotides long. Lineage: Eukaryota; Metazoa; Chordata; Mammalia; Primates; Hominidae. The record is from Ensembl.
GAGUGGAGGCCGGGCUUGAAUGCAAUGAGGGGACAGAGAGGUUGACACAAUGUGCGGCUGGGCUGACUGGGGAACACGGGCUGGCCCUGCGGGGUUUGGGAAGAUAGAGGCUGGCAGAGGACUGGGGUAGAAAAGGAAGGAAGAAUGGAAGGAGGAAUAGCGGGAGACAGGACAGCCUCAGCGCAAACUUUCAUUUCCUUCCCACCAGAGGGCACUAGGAUCCCCCUCUCCCCACUGCAGUGCUGGCCUGUGAGUUGAACUUUCCACAAUUGCCCAAACCUCUCCUAUAUGACAAGGAGCCCUCAGCCAUUCUGGCCACAGCACCCAGUCCCUCUCCUUAGGAAGCAGAUGAUGCCACCAAGACCCUGAUAUGUGAGAUGACUUGCCCAAGGUCCCACAGCCAGUAAUUUGAAUGCAGGCAGUCAAACCAAGGAGGAAGCAGGGAGCAGCUGUGCCUGGAUGGGCGAGGGUGGAGGACUGCACAGGUCAGGGAGCUCGUUCUGGCUCCUGCCAGGGGAGUCGGGUGAGAGCAAAGGUCCAGAGACUGUGGGGUAGGGGUGGCCCCGCGUCCCAGUGGGGUGGGCUGUGGCUCCUCAUCAGGAGAGACUGGUUGUGGUCCUGAGCAUCCCUCGUUGCUGAGGGUAAUAAACCUGCCUCUUUACCCCCUCCAAA